UCUCUCCAGAUUCCUUGUCUCUCAGAUCUAAAUAUUGGUCUGAGUGGCUAAAAAAGGAGGAAAAGUAAAACUGAAGUGGCUUGGAGUCUUCAAUGACUUACAAAUUCAUUUCAAAUAUAA
RNAcentral lists this small nucleolar RNA (120 nucleotides) under Echinops telfairi (small Madagascar hedgehog). Its description in RNAcentral is "Small nucleolar RNA SNORA61 (ENSETEG00000024366.1)". Lineage: Eukaryota; Metazoa; Chordata; Mammalia; Afrosoricida; Tenrecidae. The record is from RNAcentral.